Molecule: ribosomal RNA, 465 nt
Filed under: uncultured bacterium
Lineage: Bacteria
Description: partial 16S ribosomal RNA
Rfam family: Bacterial small subunit ribosomal RNA
Source: RNAcentral
GACGAACGCUGGCGGCGUGCUUAACACAUGCAAGUCGAACGGAAAGGCCCCUUUGGGGGUACUCGCGUGGCGAACGGGUGAGUAACACGUGCGUAACCUGCCCUUGACUUCGGGUUAACUUCAUGAAACUGGGGCUAAUACCGGCUAGGAAUCCUUGCUGCAUGGUGGGGGUUGGAAAGCUUCGGCGGGGUUGGGUGGACUCGCGGCCUAUCAGCUUGUUGGUGGGGUAGUGGCUUACCAAGGCUUUGACGGGUAGGGGGCCUGUGAGGGCGACCGGCCACACAGGGACUGAGAGACGGCGCAGACUCCUACGGGGGGCAGCAGUGGGGAAUAUUGCACAAUGGGCGGGAGCCUGAGGCAGCGACGCGGCGUGCGGGAUGACGGCCUUCGGGUGGUAAACCGCGUUCAGCAGGGGCGAAGCGUGUGGUGACGGUACCUGCAGAAGAAGCACCGGCUAAAUUCGUG